This is a long non-coding RNA of Ictidomys tridecemlineatus (thirteen-lined ground squirrel), 997 nucleotides long. RefSeq lists it as uncharacterized. Lineage: Eukaryota; Metazoa; Chordata; Mammalia; Rodentia; Sciuridae. The record is from RefSeq and is a predicted model, not a curated record.
CUGCUGUCGGUUUUCUUCUAGGGACACAAUUUGUGUGUCUUUGCUUCUGUGUUCGCUUCCUUUUUAAUCUUUCCCGUCUUUCACCUUAAUUCUAAGUGAUCUCCCGCACCGUGUCGGCUAGACCGUUCCGAGAGAGGAUGCUCGCCUGCCUGCACCGAGGAGAGGUGCGGACGGGCUCCGCGAUGCCGCGACAGGGCGCUUCCUGGACGCUCACUACCAUCUGGAAGGCUUUCUGGUUAAAAAGAAGUUUAAGGAGACAGAGACAGAAGAUGAGCAGGAAUCCCAAACAGACGGUUUUUGCUAAGUUGCCCAGGUUGGCCUUGAACUUGCCAAGCCUGUCCUCAACUUGAGAUGUUCCUGCCUCGGCCUCCCAAGUAGCUGGGAUUAUAGGCACACCCCACCACUACCUGGCUAAAGUGCAAUUGUUAUCACACAUAAAAAUUUCAGUUGAUAACAAAGAAUUCAAGGGCAGUCAUUGCUUAAUCAUAAAUGCUAAUUCUCUCUCUCUCUGACCCUCUGAACUCUCCUACUCCCAUUCAGCACCACCCAGUGGGCAAAGGUCUGGUAUAGACUCAGGGAAAUAGAAUUCAAGUCUUAGCUCGGAUUCUCUAACUGUGGAACCUUGAGUAAAGUACUUAACCUCCUGAAUUCAGUUUCCCCUCAUCUGACAAGGGGCAGCGGCAGGACCAACUGCAUGUUGGAAUGAUCCGUGGCAGCUUUCCCUCCCUUUCCCCUCCCUUCCCCUUUCUCCUCCCCAUCCCAUGGCGGCCAAGGGCCAGGACUUUUCACCACCUGGCUAAAGAGACUUGCCCUUAAACCGGGCCCCUAAACUCCGCUGAGCCUCCUACCUCUAGUGACCUAUAUAGGGUCCUUCUACCUCUAGUGACCUGUAUAGGUAUUGUUUCGCCUUGCUUACCCUUUCUGGAUCAGUGAACUUUGCCUGCCUGGAGCGCCACUGCCCCCCACCCUUCUCAAUAAAACUCCUUUUGGUGCCUUA